UGACCUCAAAUCAGGUAGGAUCUAUCCG
This 28-nucleotide ribosomal RNA is filed under the name Trametes versicolor. Its description in RNAcentral is "partial 28S ribosomal RNA". Lineage: Eukaryota; Fungi; Basidiomycota; Agaricomycetes; Polyporales; Polyporaceae. The record is from RNAcentral.